GAAUAUUGCACAAUGGGGGAAACCCUGAUGCAGCAACGCCGCGUGAAGGAUGAAGGUUUUCGGAUUGUAAACUUCUUUAGUCAGGGACGAAAGAAAUGACGGUACCUGAAGAAUAAGCCACGGCUAACUACGUGCCAGCAGCCGCGGUAAUACGUAGGUGGCGAGCGUUGUCCGGAAUUACUGGGUGUAAAGGGCGUGUAGGCGGGAAUGUAAGUCAGAUGUGAAAUCCCAGGGCUUAACUUUGGAGCUGCAUCUGAAACUAUGUUUCUUGAGUGCCGGAGAGGAAAGCGGAAUUCCUAGUGUAGCGGUGAAAUGCGUAGAUAUUAGGAGGAACACCAGUGGCGAAGGCGGCUUUCUGGACGGUAACUGACGCUGAGGCGCGAAAGCGUGGGGAGCAAACA
RNAcentral lists this ribosomal RNA (401 nucleotides) under uncultured bacterium. RNAcentral describes it as "bacterial SSU rRNA". It matches the Rfam family "Bacterial small subunit ribosomal RNA", at positions 359 to 774 of the family's 1533-position model. The record is from RNAcentral.